RNAcentral lists this ribosomal RNA (525 nucleotides) under Clostridioides difficile. RNAcentral's name for it is "bacterial SSU rRNA". It matches the Rfam family "Bacterial small subunit ribosomal RNA", at positions 1 to 551 of the family's 1533-position model. Lineage: Bacteria; Bacillati; Bacillota; Clostridia; Peptostreptococcales; Peptostreptococcaceae. The record is from RNAcentral.
UUUUAUUUGAGAGUUUGAUCCUGGCUCAGGAUGAACGCUGGCGGCGUGCCUAACACAUGCAAGUUGAGCGAUUUACUUCGGUAAAGAGCGGCGGACGGGUGAGUAACGCGUGGGUAACCUACCCUGUACACACGGAUAACAUACCGAAAGGUAUGCUAAUACGUGAUAAUAUAUUUGAGAGGCAUCUCUUAAAUAUCAAAGGUGAGCCAGUACAGGAUGGACCCGCGUCUGAUUAGCUAGUUGGUAAGGUAACGGCUUACCAAGGCGACGAUCAGUAGCCGACCUGAGAGGGUGAUCGGCCACAUUGGAACUGAGACACGGUCCAAACUCCUACGGGAGGCAGCAGUGGGGAAUAUUGCACAAUGGGCGAAAGCCUGAUGCAGCAACGCCGCGUGAGUGAUGAAGGCCUUCGGGUCGUAAAACUCUGUCCUCAAGGAAGAUAAUGACGGUACUUGAGGAGGAAGCCCCGGCUAACUACGUGCCAGCAGCCGCGGUAAUACGUAGGGGGCUAGCGUUAUCCGGAUU